GCUAGUGGGUCAUAGCAGAGGUGGGGGACUCGAGUCACUUGACUUGACUCCAGUCAGACUCGAGUCGCAAAUUUGAGGACUUGAGACUUGCUUGACUUACAUUGAUAAAAGACUCGACUUGACUUUGACUCAGUAUUCAUGACUUGAGACUUGACUUAGACUUGAGACAGAUGACUCGAAAGGACUUGACUUUUUUUUUAUUAAAUAUUUUUAAUUUUUCUAGGUAUUGAGAUGUUCCGUUUUGUUUUUGAAACAUUGGGGGAUUUCUAGUACAAUGCGAGCAAACCUGGCAACCUACUAGGACACAGCAGAGGCCAACGCAGGAGGCAGCGAGCUGUCAUGGAGGGGCCUAGUACAAAAAUCAUAAAAUUUGGAUUCAAAAAUGAUGUUGUCGAUGACGGUAGUAAGAAGAGAACAGCGGUAUGCGAGGUCUGCGGCUCAAAAAUCAGUAACACGACCACCGCAACAUCCAACUUCAUCCGUCACCACAAACCCACAAAGAAAAGAAGCUACCACAGACAGUGGCUCGGCCUCCUCUUCAUCAUCCUCUUCCCCCCUCUGGUGUGAAAUAGUGGGAGCUUCAUCACUGGCCUGUCCCACUCAAUCAUAGAAAUGGGAUGGCCUUUUAUUCAUCUUGCUCUGUUGCCUGGGAACUAAAACUCCCCUCCGUUCCACGCUGCAUUGAGCUUUAAACAUCCAGGUGAGGCUCAGACACCAAUCAGGAAAGAGACGACAUGAUUACAUGAUAGGAUUCAUCUGGGGAUGAACCGCCAGGACACCAGACUCACAAGAACAACCGUCAGAACCAACCAGCAACACAGUACAGAAUAUCUAGAGAGACCAAGACCGCAAAAAUAUGACAAUAUGACAAGAGCCAUACCAUACAAAUUAAAGAAUGGCGACACACUCAACCACAACACAUUAUUAUGCUCAAUUUUUGUAUUGGCACAAAAGGUGAAGAUGGAGUGAAAUGUACUUAGAAAAAGCUAGGUAAGAAUUUACACAGGAAUUCUGAGUAGAUUUUACAGAUGAUAUUUCAAGUAAACUCUACUUGG
Molecule: long non-coding RNA, 1055 nt
Organism: Sebastes umbrosus (honeycomb rockfish)
Lineage: Eukaryota; Metazoa; Chordata; Actinopteri; Perciformes; Sebastidae
Exons: 3
Source: RefSeq, a predicted model, not a curated record